GAGACGUGUUCGUUCUCAGGAGGAAGCUGCAUUGAAGAUGAUGAAAGGAACAUGUCUGAACAUGCAGGAUCUUCAGGAGAAUUCAUCCUCAACAUACAGAAUUCUGAAGACUAUACACCUUCAAGAGCAUCAUCAUUUUCUAUAGUUUCAGA
Long non-coding RNA from Dermochelys coriacea (leatherback sea turtle), 152 nucleotides. RefSeq lists it as uncharacterized. NCBI's taxonomy places the organism in Eukaryota, Metazoa, Chordata, Testudines, Dermochelyidae. The transcript has 2 exons. The record is from RefSeq and is a predicted model, not a curated record.